GUAGGUGGCAAGCGUUGUCCGGAAUGAUUGGGCGUAAAGCGCGCGCAGGCGGUUCUUUAAGUCUGAUGUGAAAGCCCACGGCUCAACCGUGGAGGGUCAUUGGAAACUGGAGAACUUGAGUACAGAAGAGGAAAGCGGAAUUCCACGUGUAGCGGUGAAAUGCGUAGAGAUGUGGAGGAACACCAGUGGCGAAGGCGGCUUUCUGGUCUGUAACUGACGCUGAGGCGCGAAAGCGUGGGGAGCAAACAGGAUUAGAUACCCCGGUAGUCCACGCCGUAAACGAUGAGUGCUAAGUGUUAGGGGGGUUUCCGCCCCCUUAGUGCUGCAGCUAACGCAUUAAGCACUCCGCCUGGGGAGUACGGCCGCAAGGCUG
This 373-nucleotide ribosomal RNA is filed under the name uncultured organism. Its description in RNAcentral is "partial 16S ribosomal RNA". It matches the Rfam family "Bacterial small subunit ribosomal RNA", at positions 527 to 896 of the family's 1533-position model. The record is from RNAcentral.